RNAcentral lists this ribosomal RNA (253 nucleotides) under uncultured bacterium. RNAcentral's name for it is "partial 16S ribosomal RNA". It matches the Rfam family "Bacterial small subunit ribosomal RNA", at positions 524 to 776 of the family's 1533-position model. The record is from RNAcentral.
UACGAAGGGGGCUAGCGUUGUUCGGAAUUACUGGGCGUAAAGCGCAUGUAGGCGGAUAUUUAAGUCAGGGGUGAAAUCCCGCAGCUCAACUGCGGAACUGCCUUUGAUACUGGGUAUCUUGAGUAUGGAAGAGGUGAGUGGAAUUCCGAGUGUAGAGGUGAAAUUCGUAGAUAUUCGGAGGAACACCAGUGGCGAAGGCGGCUCACUGGUCCAUUACUGACGCUGAGGUGCGAAAGCGUGGGGAGCGAACAGG